Molecule: ribosomal RNA, 305 nt
Filed under: uncultured bacterium
Lineage: Bacteria
Description: bacterial SSU rRNA
Rfam family: Bacterial small subunit ribosomal RNA
Source: RNAcentral
CGCCUACGGGGGGCAGCAGUGAGGAAUAUUGGUCAAUGGGCGGGAGCCUGAACCAGCCAAGUCGCGUGAAGGAAGAAGGUACUUAGUAUUGUAAACUUCUUUUGUCGGGGAACAAAGGCGGAGACGCGUCUCCGGAUGAGUGUACCCGAAGAAAAAGCAUCGGCUAACUCCGUGCCAGCAGCCGCGGUAAUACGGAGGAUGCGAGCGUUAUCCGGAUUUAUUGGGUUUAAAGGGUGCGCAGGCGGAGGUGCAAGUCAGCUGUCAAAUUGCGGGGCUCAACCCCGGACUGCCGUUGAAACUGCAUC